Molecule: ribosomal RNA, 506 nt
Filed under: uncultured bacterium
Lineage: Bacteria
Description: partial 16S ribosomal RNA
Rfam family: Bacterial small subunit ribosomal RNA
Source: RNAcentral
AUUGAACGCUGGCGGCAGGCCUAACACAUGCAAGUCGAACGGUAACAGAAAGCAGCUUGCUGCUUUGCUGACGAGUGGCGGACGGGUGAGUAAUGUCUGGGAAACUGCCUGAUGGAGGGGGAUAACUACUGGAAACGGUAGCUAAUACCGCAUAACGUCGCAAGACCAAAGAGGGGGACCUUCGGGCCUCUUGCCAUCGGAUGUGCCCAGAUGGGAUUAGCUAGUAGGUGGGGUAAUGGCUCACCUAGGCGACGAUCCCUAGCUGGGCUGAGAGGAUGACCAGCCACACUGGAACUGAGACACGGUCCAGACUCCUACGGGAGGCAGCAGUGGGGAAUAUUGCACAAUGGGCGCAAGCCUGAUGCAGCCAUGCCGCGUGUAUGAAGAAGGCCUUCGGGUUGUAAAGUACUUUCAGCGAGGAGGAAGGUGUUGUGGUUAAUAACCACAGCAAUUGACGUUACUCGCAGAAGAAGCACCGGCUAACUCCGUGCCAGCAGCCGCCGUAA